CAGCCGCCGCGGUAAUACCGGCGGCCCGAGUGGCGGUCACUAUUAUUGGGCUUAAAGCGUCCGUAGCCGGGUUGGGAAGUCCUCCGGGAAAUCUGGCCGCUUAACGGUCAGAAUGCCGGAGGAUACUCCCAGCCUAGGGAGCGGGAGAGGCCGAGGGUAUUCCCGGAGUAGGGGGGAAAUACUAUAAUCCCGGGAGGACCACCUGUGGCGAAGGCGCUCGGCUGGAACGCGUCCGACGGUGAGGGACGAAGGCCAGGGGAGCAAACCGGAUUAGAUACCCGGGUAGUCCUGGCUGUAAACGAUGCGGACUUUGUGUCGGACAAGCUAUGAGCUUGUCCGGUGCCGGAGGGAAACCGUUAAGUCCGCCGCCUGGGGAGUACGGCCGCAAGGCUGAAACUUAAAGGAAUUGGCGGG
Molecule: ribosomal RNA, 414 nt
Filed under: uncultured microorganism
Description: bacterial SSU rRNA
Rfam family: Archaeal small subunit ribosomal RNA
Source: RNAcentral